UGAAUGGUGUUGUGUUUUUGUGUCCCAUGGAUGUGCCACCUGUGAGGUUGAAGCUGAGGCUGGCUCUUUUGGAGAUGGAACAGCAAAAGAGUCUCCAUUCAUCUAAAAUCAGACGAAUGGAGAUGGACCAAGAGGUGAGACUCUGACAGCUGGAGCUGGAGGUGGGCUUCAGUGCAUCGUCUCAACCUACCCAUCAGCAGGCCCAGUUUGAGUGUCCCAGUGGAGAGCAGCGGUAGUGUCUGCCGUCUACUUUAUGAUCUUUGGCACUAAUACCAGGGAAGUGGUGUUUAGAUGCAGUGCAGAGGGGGAGAUGACAUCAUAAAUUAUGAACAUGAUGGAGUUCAACCUAGCUGUCAGUGGAGCCAACGCCUCUGCCUCUCCUCUUUCUCUACUACUCCUUCUGUAUCUUAGGGUGUCUUGGGAUUGAUGCCUGGAGCCACGACGAGAAGGAAAGGACAUG
Long non-coding RNA from Esox lucius (northern pike), 460 nucleotides. RefSeq lists it as uncharacterized. The transcript is spliced from 3 exons. Lineage: Eukaryota; Metazoa; Chordata; Actinopteri; Esociformes; Esocidae. The record is from RefSeq and is a predicted model, not a curated record.